AGAGAGAGAGAGAGAGAGAGAGAGAGAGAGAGAGAGGGGAGAGAGGGAGAGGUAGGCGAGGCUCCAGCCACUCUCCCUCGCCAGUCUAGCCCGGGCUUUGCGAUCGGCUACAUGUACCCGCUCCACCUCUUCUCCACCACCACCACCACCACCACCAGGCGCUACCACCACCACCACCACAACCACCACCACUACUACCACCGCCGCCAACGCCACCUCCACCACUCCUCUCCGUCUCUCCACACGCCUCCCUCUCUCCCUUCCUUCUCCUCUUCCUUUUCCUCUUCCUCUUCCUUCUUGUCCUCCUCCUCCUCCUCCUUGUCCUCUUCCUUGUCCUCUUCCUCCUGCUUGUCCUUGUCCUCGUCGUCUCUUUUGUAACAUGGUAACGUGUCUGAGGAAAAUUGAGUUUUGAAAAGAGGGGAAAAGGGGAGAAGUGUUUAACAUUCGAUUGUUUUUCCCCUCCCUCAUCCGUACAGUGGAAAAAAAGUAGACAGACCGUUUGUUUUUCCUCCCACUCCUGACUCAUCAACUGUCCCUCCACGCUGCUUUUGUUUUUGUUGUUGUUUGUUUUGAUGUGAGAGCGUGAGGGCGUCUGCGUGUUUUUAUUAUUGUUAUUGUUAUUGUUGCUGUUGUUGUCGUUGUUUGGCGGAUUAAUUUUUUGUUUUUAUUUUUUUUGUCUAGUUUUUUUUUACUGCCUGCCUUCUCAUCCGUCAUAUUUUUCCCCUCAGAUGGAGUGCAAAGGCUAGAAACGUGUAAACCAAACCAAAACAAACCAAAACUGUAAAAAAAAAAAAAAAAGACAACUGCAUUUUUGUAAUUGGCACAAACAAACGAGAGGGAAACAAGUGACCAAAAAAAAAAUAAUAAAAAACAAAACGAAGAAACGAGAUCAGACAAAAUAAAACAAGAAGAAAGCAUAAAAGAGAAAUCCGACUAUUUUUUAUAUCAAUAUCUGUAAUUAUUCUCAAACUGGCGAGUGAAUUUUUUUUAGAUUAAUGGGAGGACUUUUUGAGUGAAAAUUUUGCCUUUUUUCAAUAAGCCGUGACACCCAAAUUUUAACGUAUCCUCCUUCCUUCCCGUUCCUCCUCCUCCUUCUCCUCCUCCUCCUUUUCCUGUCUCCCCUCCUCUUCCUUCUCUCCCAGUAUAUGUGACACUAAGUUAACCAUCGCCUCCCUCUAUCUGUCUGUCUAUUUCUGUCUGUCUGUCUGUCUGUUUUCCCUCUUAUUCUCCUCCUUCCCUUUCUCCUCCACCUCCUCCUCAUCUUCUCGAAAGUGAAAAACUCGUGGAGAUAUUUCCUAGCGCGUGAUCCGAAAGUGAGAGAGAGAGAGAGAGAGAGAGAGAGAGAGAGAGAGAGAGAGAGAGAGAGAGAGAGAGAGAGAGAGAGAGAGAGAGAGACUUCCCUGGAUCAAGAGGAGACUGUGAGAUAGAAAGAAAACAGCGGGAGAGAGAGAGAGAGAAAGAGGAAAAGAGACCAUCGCCAUCUUCACUUCAAGACAUUUUCUCUCCGUCUCUCCAAGGAAGGGAGGGAGAGAGGAAAAAGAGAGAGAGGAAGAGAGAGAGCGAGAAAGAGAGUGAGAGCGAGUGAGAGAGAGAGAGAGAGAGAGAGAGAGAGAGAGAGAGAGAGAGAGAGAGAGAGAGAGAGAGAGAGAGAGAGAGAGGGAGACCGAGGCACACACGAGGAGGGAAAGAAAAAGGAAACGAGUGAGAGGCAUACUAGUCGUGUUCUCCUCCUCCUCCUCCUCCUCUACUCCUCCUCCUCCUCCUCCACCUCCUCCUCCACCUCCUCCACCUCCUCCUCCUCCUCCCGGGAACACCUGAGGAUUCUCUCUGCACUUCGGCGUCUCAGCAUCCCAGCAUCAUGACAAGUACUCCUCCGCUUAGCAAACUUCGUCUCUCUUCCUUCCUCUCCCAAAGCUUGUCAAGUUACUCGUCCUUCAUGCAGUCAAGCAGCGAGGCGGCCGCCCAAACAGUAGAGAUAUGCAAAGGUUUUCAGAACUGCAGAGUUCCGUGUUGGCAGUGG
Scylla paramamosain (green mud crab) is the source of this 2020-nucleotide long non-coding RNA. RefSeq lists it as uncharacterized. NCBI's taxonomy places the organism in Eukaryota, Metazoa, Arthropoda, Malacostraca, Decapoda, Portunidae. The transcript has 4 exons. The record is from RefSeq and is a predicted model, not a curated record.